Small nuclear RNA from Vombatus ursinus (common wombat), 108 nucleotides. The record is from Ensembl. NCBI's taxonomy places the organism in Eukaryota, Metazoa, Chordata, Mammalia, Diprotodontia, Vombatidae.
GUGCUCACUUCAGCAGCACAGUAACUAAAAUUAAAACAAUACGGAGUAAAUUAGCAUUGCCUGUUGCAUAAGGAUAAGUUGCAAAUUUGUGAAGCAGUCUAUUUCUAG